GCCUGUGUGGAUCAGUGGUUGAGCAUCGGCCUAUGAACCCGGAGAUCCAGGUUAAAUUCCUGGUUGGGGCA
Non-coding RNA from Myotis davidii, 71 nucleotides. Lineage: Eukaryota; Metazoa; Chordata; Mammalia; Chiroptera; Vespertilionidae. The record is from Rfam.